UACGAAGGGGGCUAGCGUUGUUCGGAAUUACUGGGCGUAAAGCGCACGCAGGCGGUCUUUUUAGUUAGGCGUGAAAGUCCUGGGCUCAACCUGGGGAUUGCGCUUAAUACUGGAAGGCUAGAGUCCGUGAGAGGGUGGUGGAAUUCCCAGUGUAGAGGUGAAAUUCGUAGAUAUUGGGAAGAACACCGGUGGCGAAGGCGACCACCUGGCACGGUACUGACGCUCAUGUGCGAAAGCGUGGGGAGCAAACAGG
Molecule: ribosomal RNA, 253 nt
Filed under: uncultured bacterium
Lineage: Bacteria
Description: partial 16S ribosomal RNA
Rfam family: Bacterial small subunit ribosomal RNA
Source: RNAcentral